UCUUGAGAUCCGUUUCAGAAAGUUGAAAACAAAUUGAGGUUGGGUCUUAAUUUGUUCUUUGUUUUUUUAAUUUGUCUUGGAUUUCUUAUGUAAAAAUCAAUAAUCUUUACUUUCUAGCGAUUUCUUUUAUCACUUUGGAUUUUAUGUCAUCUUAGUGGACAUUUGGACGAUAUUUAGUUCAAAUUAUAAAAGAAUAUACGAAAUUAAAGUUGGGAAAAGUAUUCGAAAGUUGAAGUUAGGCUUGCUGAAGGGUUUGCAAGUGAAAAUUAUUAUUAGCUGCUGCUAUAGUCCUAAACUGGAGGAAGCUACAAAGACCAUUUCUGGCCUCUGCACUCUAUUAUUCUUUCACAGUUAAAGCUGAGUCUUCAACUUGGGUUUAAAGGUUAUAUUGUAAUUAUUCAGGUACUUAUCUUGUUGUUGCAAUUUACCAAGUCUUCAACUUGGGUUUAAUGGUUACAUUGUAACUAUUUAGAUCUUCUUGCUUUUUCAACUGUAAAGAAUUGGGGUUGCAAAUUUUGAAACAUUAUUCACUGAGUUCCAGCUUUCCCUUCGCCUUAAUUUGGUUAUUCAAGUUUGUCUCUACUGCUGUUUAGAGGUUUUUUGAAUUCUUGCUUUUCGUCAGCGAUUUUUCCAGCGACCCCUGCUCUUUUCUUCCUAUUCUCUCAUCUGCUUUUAGUGGGGGUGUGUGGGUGUGUUCUGUUUUCUUGUACAUGUGCUUUAUUUUUCUGGCGAGGAUUUACGGUUUUUUGAAUUCUUGCUUUUCGUCAGUGAUUUUUCCGGCGACCCCUGCUCUUUUCUUCCUAUUCUCUCUUCUGCUUUUUGUGGAGGUGUGUGGGUGUGUACUGUUUUCGUGGACAUGUGCCUUAUUUUUCCGGCGAGGAUUUACGGCAAGCUACAGUACUUUUGGCGACUCCCGUUCAGACUUCCUGUAGGACGCAAUAGAACUACACGUUCCGUAAGCUUCAGGAAAACUUGCCCAAGGUACUAGUCGCAGGUGCGAGGCCAGUUGGCAGCGUUUGGGAGUGAAGAGCUAAGCAACAGCGGCCGGGACGUGCAAGAGUCGGUAGCAGUUGACCUUGGGCGCAUCAAAGCCUACUUUCAGGUUUUUCCACCGGGAGUUGGUACCUCCCGCUCUCUUGUUUACUUUGUACACCUUUAUACGUAUUUUAGCUAGCAUUCUGUGUGAGGUCUACUCUGUUGCUAUCUAGUCUGCAUCUUUUUUCAUAUUCUGC
Molecule: long non-coding RNA, 1232 nt
Filed under: Nicotiana benthamiana
Lineage: Eukaryota; Viridiplantae; Streptophyta; Magnoliopsida; Solanales; Solanaceae
Description: long non-coding RNA (NBEN_LNC035038)
Source: RNAcentral